RNAcentral lists this ribosomal RNA (775 nucleotides) under uncultured Neocallimastigales. RNAcentral describes it as "partial large subunit ribosomal RNA". It matches the Rfam family "Eukaryotic large subunit ribosomal RNA", at positions 18 to 634 of the family's 3401-position model. The record is from RNAcentral. Lineage: Eukaryota; Fungi; Neocallimastigomycota; Neocallimastigomycetes; Neocallimastigales.
UCAGACGAUGCGUCAUGCAUAUCAAUAAGCGGAGGAAAAGAAACUAACAAGGAUUCCCUUAGUAACGGCGAGUGAAGCGGGAAGAGCUCAAAUUUGAAAUCUUCAAGGUUUUACCUUGACGAAUUGUAGUUUAAAGAAGUGUUUUCUGUUGAAGUUUUGGUAAAAGUUCUUUGGAAUAGGACAUCAUAGAGGGUGAGAAUCCCGUAUUUGACCAUUAUUUUCAGCUUUGUGAUACACUUUCAAAGAGUCGGAUUGUUUGGGAAUGCAGUCCAAAAUGGGUGGUAAAUUUCAUCUAAAGCUAAAUAUUGGCGAGAGACCGAUAGCGAACAAGUACCGUGAGGGAAAGAUGAAAAGAACUUUGAAAGGAGAGUUAAACAGUACGUGAAAUUGUCAAAAGGGAAGCGUUUGACACCAGUGUUGUUUUCUCGAAAAUCAAUUAAAAAUGGCUCGAUUUUGUAUUGCUGAGACCUUAAAAGCUCACUGUACAUUUUUCGUGUCUUUUUUAAUGCACUUUUCGUUUAACAAGUCAACAUCAGUUUCUUUUGUUGUAAAAAGGGUCAUUGGAAGGUGGCUUUCCUUUCGGAGAAAGUGUUUAUAGCCUUUGGCCUCUGCAAUCGGAGAGACUGAGGUCUGCAGCGUAGACUCUUCGGGGUUAGAUACAUUUGUGCUAAGUUAUAGCUUUUUAUAGACAACUUGUUGACUAUAAUUAGUCUUGUAGCUUACUCGCUUAUGCUAUUUUACCUACGCUUAGGAUGUUGAGUCGUAGAGCACGCAG